This 593-nucleotide ribosomal RNA is filed under the name uncultured Russula. Its description in RNAcentral is "eukaryotic LSU rRNA". The stretch from base 211 to 364 matches the Rfam family "5.8S ribosomal RNA". The record is from RNAcentral. Lineage: Eukaryota; Fungi; Basidiomycota; Agaricomycetes; Russulales; Russulaceae.
AGUACAACGGAGGUGCCUGGGCUGUUGCUGACCUCAAGGUCGUGCACGCCCGGAGCGCUCUCUCACAUCCAUCUCACCCCUUUGUGCAUCAUCGCGUGGGGCCCUCUCCUUUGGCUUGUUCCGGAAGGGGGGGGGUUCACGUUUUUACACGAACAACCCAUUAAUGCAUGUGUAGAAUGUCUUACUUUUGCGGUCACACGCAAUCAAUACAACUUUCAACAACGGAUCUCUUGGCUCUCGCACCGAUGAAGAACGCAGCGAAAUGCGAUACGUAAUGUGAAUUGCAGAAUUCAGUGAAUCAUCGAAUCUUUGAACGCACCUUGCGCCCCUUGGUAUUCCGAGGGGUGCACCCGUUUGAGUGUCGUGAACACCCUCAACCUUCUUGGUUUAUCGACCGGGAAGGCUUGGACUUUGGAGGUUUUUGUUGCUGGCCUCGUUUGAAGCCAGCUCCUCCUAAACGAAUUAGUGGGGUCCGCCGUGCCGACCCUCGACGUGAUAAGUACGCUUCUACGUCUUGGGGUUUCGCACUGUCGCCUGCUUCCAACCGUCUUCGAAUGAAGACAACCUUAUAGACCUUGACCUCAAAUCGGGUG